RNAcentral lists this ribosomal RNA (670 nucleotides) under uncultured Bacilli bacterium. RNAcentral describes it as "bacterial SSU rRNA". It matches the Rfam family "Bacterial small subunit ribosomal RNA", at positions 50 to 705 of the family's 1533-position model. Lineage: Bacteria; Bacillati; Bacillota; Bacilli. The record is from RNAcentral.
AAUACAUGCAAGUAGAACGCUGAAGGAGGAGCUUGCUUCUCUGGAUGAGUUGCGAACGGGUGAGUAACGCGUAGGUAACCUGCCUGGUAGCGGGGGAUAACUAUUGGAAACGAUAGCUAAUACCGCAUAAUAGUAGAUGUUGCAUGACAUUUGCUUAAAAGGUGCAAUUGCAUCACUACCAGAUGGACCUGCGUUGUAUUAGCUAGUUGGUGGGGUAACGGCUCACCAAGGCGACGAUACAUAGCCGACCUGAGAGGGUGAUCGGCCACACUGGGACUGAGACACGGCCCAGACUCCUACGGGAGGCAGCAGUAGGGAAUCUUCGGCAAUGGACGGAAGUCUGACCGAGCAACGCCGCGUGAGUGAAGAAGGUUUUCGGAUCGUAAAGCUCUGUUGUAAGAGAAGAACGAGUGUGAGAGUGGAAAGUUCACACUGUGACGGUAUCUUACCAGAAAGGGACGGCUAACUACGUGCCAGCAGCCGCGGUAAUACGUAGGUCCCGAGCGUUGUCCGGAUUUAUUGGGCGUAAAGCGAGCGCAGGCGGUUAGAUAAGUCUGAAGUUAAAGGCUGUGGCUUAACCAUAGUACGCUUUGGAAACUGUUUAACUUGAGUGCAAGAGGGGAGAGUGGAAUUCCAUGUGUAGCGGUGAAAUGCGUAGAUAUAUGGAGGA